CCUACGGGGGGCUGCAGUGGGGAAUAUUGGACAAUGGGGGCAACCCUGAUCCAGCCAUGCCGCGUGUGUGAAGAAGGCCCUCGGGUUGUAAAGCACUUUCAGUGAGGAAGAACGCCUGGUGGUUAAUACCCAUCAGGAAAGACAUCACUCACAGAAGAAGCACCGGCUAACUCCGUGCCAGCAGCCGCGGUAAUACGGAGGGUGCGAGCGUUAUUCGGAAUUACUGGGCGUAAAGCGCGCGUAGGUGGCUUGAUAAGCCGGUUGUGAAAGCCCCGGGCUCAACCUGGGAACGGCAUCCGGAACUGUCAAGCUAGAGUGCAGGAGAGGAAGGUAGAAUUCCCGGUGUAGCGGUGAAAUGCGUAGAGAUCGGGAGGAAUACCAGUGGCGAAGGCGGCCUUCUGGACUGACACUGACACUGAGGUGCGAAAGCGUGGGUAGCAAACAGGAUUAGAUACCCUAGUAGUC
This 465-nucleotide ribosomal RNA is filed under the name Vreelandella stevensii. RNAcentral's name for it is "partial 16S ribosomal RNA". It matches the Rfam family "Bacterial small subunit ribosomal RNA", at positions 338 to 795 of the family's 1533-position model. Lineage: Bacteria; Pseudomonadati; Pseudomonadota; Gammaproteobacteria; Oceanospirillales; Halomonadaceae. The record is from RNAcentral.